UAUAAAACUAAGCCGAAUCUCCAUAUGGAGUACGGGGGAAUUCUUUACAGGGGUGAAUCUUCGCUAUGAAGUAGGGUGCCUCAACCCAAACCCGUCAACUAACCUCGGAGGCAAUAGAGGAGGAAAUA
Molecule: small RNA, 128 nt
Filed under: Clostridium oryzae
Lineage: Bacteria; Bacillati; Bacillota; Clostridia; Eubacteriales; Clostridiaceae
Description: c-di-AMP sequence
Rfam family: c-di-AMP riboswitch aptamer (ydaO/yuaA leader)
About the family: This family represents a conserved RNA structure found upstream of the ydaO and yuaA genes in Bacillus subtilis and related genes in other bacteria.
Source: Rfam by way of RNAcentral